Molecule: long non-coding RNA, 3438 nt
Organism: Onychomys torridus (southern grasshopper mouse)
Lineage: Eukaryota; Metazoa; Chordata; Mammalia; Rodentia; Cricetidae
Exons: 5
Source: RefSeq, a predicted model, not a curated record
CCCAGACGCCAGCCUAGGGCGGGGUGAGGAGGAGGCUGCACUGGCGCUCGGGUCGCUGCACCGCCCCACAGCCGCGCGCUCUCCGCAGUGACGGCAACCGCAACCUCAGCAGCACCCAGCUCCAUCCUCAGCAGCCUGGCCCGCGCCGCAGCUGCCGGGAACCGAGCGAUUCGGGCUGAGGGCGACGAGCCGAAGACCUGUAGAUGUCCCAGCCGCCUCCCCCCCCCCCCCCCCCACGCCAUUGGCCGAAGCUCAAGAAACAGCGCGUGGGCUAGACGCGGUGUCGCACCGAGGGGGCGAAGAAGGGAACAAGAGAGCGCGGAGCGAGGCAGGCAGGUGUAGGAUUGAAGCCCCCCGAGUCCGCCCAGAGGACUUUGGCAGGACCUGGGGCGGCCAGGGUGGCUUCAAGGGAUUGGAGGGCUCGGACCACUGCAGAUGCGGCGCGUGUGGGCGCGGCGAAAGCGCCCCCUUCUCCCAGGAUCUAAACGGAUAAACGGAAGCGCGAUAGAUCUACCUUUGGUUUGGACUGGCUGAAACACUACGGACUGCAACCUUUUAAAGGAGAACAAAAAGAUGAGGAUCUUGUGCGGACUCCGGGACAAAGCGUCUUGGGCUCAGUGACAAGGGACGCGCGGAACUCUGGCUCCCGCAUUGGAGAGAUCAACGCAGCCCAAGGGCACCCCGCAGGGCCUGCGGACCUCUCAGGCGAGAGGACAGCAGCAGGAGAGUUCCGGAAGGCUGAUUCCCACAGAUCCUGGUGAGGGGCCGCUGCAGCUCAGCCCUGCGGCACGCCCGGUCCGGCUGCACCAGGACUCUACACUCGAGGAAAAAGCUUGGAAACCAAAGGAUGCGGGAGAACAAAGAGCCUUCAGAGGACGUGGCUGUUAUCUCAUUGUCUGUGACUGGGGGAGCUGCGGAGAAAGGCCUCUCUCUCCGUGUUCACAGCGGACCUUGAUUUAAAUGUCCAUACAAUUAAGGCACGCGGUGAAUGCCAAGAAUGGGGCUGUCUGAGCACCUUGGGUCCUCGAGGGCCUGCCACGGAAGGAUCGACCCAGCCCAACGCCCUGGGCAGAUCUCAGCGCUGCAGCUGCGGGCGCCACAGGAGGGGCAGUGAGCUGCUGAAUGCCUCACACCGCAGCCUUUAGGGUGGGGAUGUGUGAGGCUACCGACAAAGAGGGGCUUGUGCAGAUGCAAACAGAAUCUAGAAAAGAAACAGCCCAUUCUGUGACAGAAACACGGAUCUGUGCAAGCGGGUGCUAGGAGGAGUGGGAGAUGGUCUGGGAGCUGUUGGAGCAUGAAGAGUGCGCGUUAGCGUCUGGGACCCUGCCCGUUGUACAAACAAGGUCGACACCUUCCUCCUCCGUAUCUCUUUUUGUCCUGGGCUUUCAGUUUGCCCUUAAACGAAUACUAAUAAUCUGGUACCCAUGCACACGGGCAGACUGCCCCCAGAGCCUGGACUGCAGCUACAUUGAAUUGUUCUGCUUGGGGUUGGUUGGAUAGUCUUUAGAGGAAGCUGUUUGUCACACUUUGGUGGAGAGCUGUGGGCAUUUGACAAGCUUAAGCAGAUCUCUGGGAUGAAGGCAACCAGCAAAUUUGCUCAUGAACAGCGCCCAGACUCCAUCAAAGCUGACAGCUAGCCCACGGCUCCAAGGAGGGCCUCCCAGGGUUCUUAGGACUCUGAAGUUUCAGGCAAAGAUCCAAAACUGCAGCAGAGGCGCAGGACCCCCAAAGGGAGGGCUGCUCCGUUGCUCUUAAAACCGGGACAGAAGGAAAAACAGCAUGUGUACAGGUGGGGGUCUGAGGAAAGUCUGUUUUGAAGCGGGCUGUCCAGGAACGGAAAGGGUUAAGUCUCCCUCAUCCUGAAGCAGCACCUGCUUCCCAAAUCAGCCCUCAGCAGCAGCUGGUGCUGGAGACCCCCGACACAGUUCCAUUCCAUCUCCAUCUCAGUAUUCCCCUCCAACCUGCAGUGGGAGGAUGGUGGCCUGGUGACCGACCUAAACUCAUUAAUUUCCAGGUGGAGAAAAUAGAGGAGCGGCAGGUCCCAGAAGCAGAGGGAGGGAAAGGAGGCCAAGAGCUGGCCUUCCCACCCAGGAAGCAGGCUGUCCUGCCAGAGGCCUGCCUUUGCAAGGCCAAGCCCAUAAAGGAUGUUUAGGAGUUUAAUCUGAUUCUUAACACAGUAAUCAGAGUCUAAAAGAGCAUCCAUUGGAGUUAAUGGAGGACUCUUUUCUCCAAAGCCUCUGCCUCCUAUAGUCUAGUAAAUUAGUAUUCGAGGGUAUCCUGGAUCAGUACCUCUCUGGCCUAGUUCCCUCAUGAGUAUUUAUUAUUUCUUGAGUAUCUACUAUGUGUCCAUCUUUGUGAUUAUCUCAUCUUAACUGCUAAAUUUCGUCACAGAAGGGAGGGAGCGUUAGAGCUAGCUGGAAUAAGGGUGAAUGUACCACACUCCGCCUAGGCUUUCCCAGAACCUUCUCUUCUCUGCAGAAACGAGCCACAGCCUGCUCACUCUUGCAGGAGGAAAGCUGUAGUGCACACAUCAUGAGGACCACAGGGGUUUCGCUGGUUGAGUCCUAUAGAGCAAGCCAGGCUACCAGGAAGGAAGGGAAAGCCUUAGCAAUGGCUGUCCUAAGAGAUGCCAUAGCCAUUGCCUUCAAAAUCUACCUCCCUUGAAAUGAAAACUGACCCUGUCCAGGGACACUCCCACCCUUUAUGAAUAUAUUAUAAGAGAGAAGACAGUGAACUGUACCAUUUUUGGGGGUGUACCCAUUGCCUCCCUCCAUGCCCGAUGAGAUGUUAUUUUGCCUUCAAGCAAUGGCCUAAGCUGCUGAUGGCCCAACCCCUGUACCACAAACUUCGCCAUUAGCAAUCCUCUGCUCAGUAAUUACUUCCCCAUGAUUCCUUCAAAUGUCCCCUCGUCCUUCACUGAUACUUCGUCUUACAUAACCUCCAGAUUCCUCCCCAAGUAAGGUAGAAACCCAAUAUGCUUUUUCUCUGAGAGCUCCAACCGCAGGCACCUUCCAUAAGGCCUGCCUGGGAUCUGCUACAUGAUCUGUGCUGGGAGGGGUGCUUUUUUAUUUAUUGCUUACAGAAACUCUUGUUCCAGAAAGUGUUAGUGUGUGGGAGUGUUAUGGGCCGGCCAGUCUGUGUGAACCAGUGUGAGUAUGUGUCCACCAGGUCUCCUUCCCAGAAGGGGUUUGUAUGACGGACUCUAAUGACCUUCUCAGUCCAGGUAUAAUUGCAAGCUCCCUUUUGUUUUCACCAAAUGAAGAAUCAGAGCCAAGGUCAGCCUGCGCUGCCUCCUUCCUUCCUCUGCAUUUUCUGACCUUUUAUGCCCAUCAGUCAUUAUGCAGAGAAGCCGAAGCCUUCUGCUCUCCCAAGGCGUCUCUUGAAUUUUCAAGAUCCCCUCCCCUGCCUAUUUGCGCCUUCUAAUUACAUAUUAUGGCC